UGAUCCUUUUAAUGAAAGGUGCUAGUUUUGUGACACUUUGUUUUCUCCACGUAUGUGGAGG
RNAcentral lists this small RNA (61 nucleotides) under Lactobacillus acidophilus. RNAcentral's name for it is "crRNA_04". The record is from RNAcentral. Lineage: Bacteria; Bacillati; Bacillota; Bacilli; Lactobacillales; Lactobacillaceae.